CGUCUAGGCGGGCUUUCAAGUCGAGUGUGAAAUCCCACGGCUCAACCGUGGACCUGCACUUGAUACUGUUGGUCUUGAGUACGGAAGAGGAAAGCGGAAUUCCUGGUGUAGCGGUGAAAUGCGUAGAUAUCAGGAAGAACACCGGUGGCGAAGGCGGCUUUCUGGUCCGAUACUGACGCUGAAGCGCGAAAGUGUGGGAGCAAACA
This 206-nucleotide ribosomal RNA is filed under the name uncultured bacterium. RNAcentral describes it as "partial 16S ribosomal RNA". It matches the Rfam family "Bacterial small subunit ribosomal RNA", at positions 568 to 774 of the family's 1533-position model. The record is from RNAcentral.